CGCUGGGUAGAGCAGUUGGCAGCUCGUCGGGCUCAUAACCCGGAGGCCGUUGGUUCAAGUCCAACCCCAGCUA
Transfer RNA from Treponema succinifaciens DSM 2489, 73 nucleotides. It matches the Rfam family "tRNA". Rfam says of the family: Transfer RNA (tRNA) molecules are approximately 80 nucleotides in length. Their secondary structure includes four short double-helical elements and three loops (D, anti-codon, and T loops). NCBI's taxonomy places the organism in Bacteria, Pseudomonadati, Spirochaetota, Spirochaetia, Treponematales, Treponemataceae. The record is from Rfam.